Long non-coding RNA from Cavia porcellus (domestic guinea pig), 1223 nucleotides. RefSeq lists it as uncharacterized. NCBI's taxonomy places the organism in Eukaryota, Metazoa, Chordata, Mammalia, Rodentia, Caviidae. The record is from RefSeq and is a predicted model, not a curated record. The transcript is spliced from 3 exons.
CCUCACUUUUUCUUUAUUUUUUUUUUUAAAUUUUAUUUUGAAAGUAUACAACAGAACAAGUCAGAAUAAAGCCAACUAAGAUCGUACAGUGAAAUUGGUACAGAACUUUACAGCAGGUUACCGGGAUAACAGUAAUAGGUAUAACAGUAUAUUUUGUUAUCUUUAUAAUAGUUGUUCUUUCAAUCAUGUAUAUCAAAAUGAGAUGAAAUAUAGAACACUAUAGGACUUAUCAAAACAGAAUAUUGAAUAGAGCAGUACCAUUAAUCAGAAAAGAGCAAAAUGGUAAUAGAAAUAUUUGCCUUCAAAGAGAUGAUAGAAGGAAAUCCCCCUUAUUUGCGAUGGUCAGCCUCCCAGGAGACGCUCAGAUUUCUGGUUCCCAUUUGCUAAUGGCGUGGGGGGGGGAGGAGGAUAGGGGAAGUGGGAUAUCUGACUCUAGGCCAUGUAGCAGUAGGUUCACCACUGCUUAGCAGGGAGGCAUGAUGGUCAUUUGUUUUCACAGUGUCCUCAGUUCCAAAUGGCGUGGAUCUCAGGAGCUGCUGCUGGUUCUCCCCCUGGAAGGGCUGCAGUCGGCCAGACCACCACCGCUUACCAGGGAGGGGAGGUACUUGCUUGGCUUCCCAGGGUCUUAAGUUCCAACAGGAGACACUUCUGGUUCAACCCCUGGAAGGGCUGCAGUCUGCCACACUGCCUCUGCUUACCAGGGAGGGGAGAGCCAGCUGUCUACAUCAUCAUGAAGCAGAUGACUGGUAGUGGGAGCUCCUGGCCUCUCUUCACUAAAACCUUAAGCCUCCAACCUUUCAGACAUUCUGAUUCUCUCCUUCCUUUGCUAUUGAAGUAUGGCUGCUAGAGAGGAUCUCAUAUAGGGCUAUCUGGAGUCGUCUUCCUCUCCCCAAUCUACAGAUACUCUUGGAUCAUCUUUAACUUUCUUCAUAUGAAAAUCUUCUCUCCAUAUUUUCCAAAUGUUGUGGUUUAGAUCUAAAAUGUCCCCUAAACCUCUGAUCAGAGAAGGGCUUGAUCAGAGGGGACACGUCACUGGCAGUAUGAUCUGGGAGGGUGAAUUUUUACCCCCGGUUCCUUUCUUCUCUCUCUGCUUGCUGGCCACCAGAAGGUGAGCAGUUUGCUUUUGCCAUACUGUUCUGCCAUGGCAUUUCUGCCUUGGAGCCGGAUGACCAUGCCCUGAACCCAAUGAAACUAUGAACUGAAAUAAAUUUUUCUUCCUUUAA